ACCGAAAUAUCUGGGUUAAUUAAAGAAUUCGGGCGGAAAAGUGCACGAAAGUGAAGUUCUAGUGCUCCGGAAUGAGUGAGAAUACAAGGAAUAGUGGAGCUCGCUGGUAUAAAAGCGAGAGAAACGAUAGAAAGUGCUGUGUGUGAAAAGUGAGGUUAGGGACAGAGCGGAGGCCAUCUUGAGUCGCGCGACCGAAGCGCCACCGUGCGGGCUACCUGGGUAACCAAGGAGUGGUGGAGAGCGCCUCCGUGGAGGGCCAGUUAAAACUCCCCGCGUCGAACAGUGAUAGUGACAUUGCGAUUUUAGAAAUAUCCGGACAUCAGUCAUACGAUUGGCGAUUUUACGACGACAUCGGCAAGUUUAUUAGGAUACGAAUCGCAUACACUCGGAAGGAUACAGUGUGAUUAUACGACGACCGGCUACGUCGAAGGACAUCCAUUUCGUACAUACAUAUAAAUAUA
Molecule: unclassified non-coding RNA, 461 nt
Filed under: Bombus terrestris (buff-tailed bumblebee)
Lineage: Eukaryota; Metazoa; Arthropoda; Insecta; Hymenoptera; Apidae
Description: misc RNA ENSBTSG00005020046.1
Source: RNAcentral